UACGUAGGAUGCGAGCGCUAUCCGGAAUUACUGGGUGUAAAGGGAGCGCAGGCGGGACUGCAAGUUGGAUGUGAAAUGCCGCAGCUUAACUGCGGAGCUGCAUCCAAAACUGUAGUUCUUGAGUGGAGUAGAGGCAAGCGGAAUUCCGAGUGUAGCGGUGAAAUGCGUAGAUAUUCGGAGGAACACCAGUGGCGAAGGCGGCUUGCUGGGCUCUAACUGACGCUGAGGCUCGAAAGUGUGGGGAGCAAACAGG
This 253-nucleotide ribosomal RNA is filed under the name uncultured bacterium. RNAcentral's name for it is "partial 16S ribosomal RNA". It matches the Rfam family "Bacterial small subunit ribosomal RNA", at positions 524 to 776 of the family's 1533-position model. The record is from RNAcentral.